RNAcentral lists this non-coding RNA (253 nucleotides) under uncultured bacterium. RNAcentral's name for it is "partial 16S ribosomal RNA". It matches the Rfam family "Bacterial small subunit ribosomal RNA", at positions 524 to 776 of the family's 1533-position model. The record is from RNAcentral. RNAcentral also lists the same sequence under 1 other name.
UACGUAGGGUGCAAGCGUUGUCCGGAAUUAUUGGGCGUAAAGAGCUCGUAGGCGGUUCGUCGCGUCGGCUGUGAAAACCUGAGGCUCAACCUCAGGCCUGCAGUCGAUACGGGCGGACUUGAGUUCGGCAGGGGAGACUGGAAUUCCUGGUGUAGCGGUGAAAUGCGCAGAUAUCAGGAGGAACACCGGUGGCGAAGGCGGGUCUCUGGGCCGAAACUGACGCUGAGGAGCGAAAGCGUGGGGAGCGAACAGG